This is a long non-coding RNA of Felis catus (domestic cat), 1064 nucleotides long. RefSeq lists it as uncharacterized. The transcript has 2 exons. The record is from RefSeq and is a predicted model, not a curated record. Lineage: Eukaryota; Metazoa; Chordata; Mammalia; Carnivora; Felidae.
CCUAAAAGACAAUCCCCAGGCCCUGCUGAGCUCAUGUGCUAUCCUGGCUGUGACAAGGCAGUCCUCAGGGGCUCUCUGACUCAACUCAUAACGUCUAUCCUGAGAACGGUAAGCCAUGACUUUGCUUCUACUGUCUGGUUUUCUUAUUCAAUCACAGGGUUAAUGGCAAACUUCAUCAACCCUUUUUUUUCUUCUUCCCAAUCCCAUCCAGGAAGUCCCUAAAUUCUCUUUAAUCUCUCUCACCUCUGUCCUAGUCAGGUCCUUAUCACCUCUCACUCGGAUGGUGGCAAGAGCCUUCUGGCUCUCUGCGUUCUGGAGGCGGUGAAGUGCAUGGGAACGGCACAGGCCUUAAAGUCAGAAAACCCACAAUUCGAUUCCUGUCUUCGCCUUGUACUAGUGGUGCAAGCUCUGUGGGCUUCCCUCUCCUCCCCUCCACUCACCCCAUGGGGAGUUGGUGAGGACUCACCAAGGGCUUUGUACUACAGUAUUGGGCACUCGCAUGGCUUUUCACACGCAGACGCCUUCACGUCUGUUCUCUUCCCUCGGAUAUGGUCACCUCUGAAUCUCACAGGAGGGGGUCAGGGGUGACUUUGGGGAAGGAUAUCGGCAUUCCUGGGUCUCUGGCUCUAAAACCAUCAAAAGACCAUCAAAAUCCACAACCAGUCUUAAAGCUCUUCUGCUUUUUCUACCAUUAAGUUGCAAGAAACCUUCAAAGCCCCUCAUUUUUUUUCAACAACCCCCCUCAUUCCACCCCUGCUGAAGGAGCUCAGUUAGUCUCUCCACGAAGGUGUGUCAGUCAUACCACCACCACCGCCGCCACCACCGCGGCCACCAUCAUCACCACCACCACCGUCACCAUCACUUCUCAGUCAUUCCAAAGGGCACAAGCAAGUGAGGAAGACUCUUGCUGGCCUUUUCUCCAGCUCCUGCAAGCCUGUGUGAUGGGCUCUCCUACCUAUCUUCUGACUGCUCAGUCUGCUCUCAGGCCUGCCCCUGUCCACAAGGCUCAGUCCCAUCUCUAAAAAGCAUGGCCUCUAAAAAAAAUAAAAUAAAAUAAAUAAAAA